Molecule: long non-coding RNA, 337 nt
Organism: Octopus sinensis (East Asian common octopus)
Lineage: Eukaryota; Metazoa; Mollusca; Cephalopoda; Octopoda; Octopodidae
Exons: 3
Source: RefSeq, a predicted model, not a curated record
AUAAGUUCAUAAUUUGUUAUAAAUUAUUAAUCAAAUGGUCGACGCAUUCCGUGAAUAUCUGCGAUUUCCAACAGUCCAACCAGAUCCUGAUUAUGGUCCUGCGGUUAAAUUUCUCUCUGAUUUAGCCCUUGGAAUAGGGCUUCAGCCUACCGUUUUGGAAUUUUAUCCAACAAAGCUGAUUCUUGUAAUAAAGUGGCAAGGGAACGACCCUGAAGCGGAAUCAAUUUUACUGAAUUCUCACAUGGACGUUGUUCCAGUGUACAGAGAGAAGUGGACAUUUGAUCCAUUUGGUGCAGAAAUGGACAAUAAUGGGAACAUCUAUGCACGUGGAAGUCAG